GUCCUGCUGUAGCCAUCAUAUCAACAAAGCCCUCCGUCCUCCUGCGGUCUUCCUCACUGAUGUUCCUCUGUGUGUAGAGCAGAUUAACCAGGAUGUUUUUCAGAUAACAGUGUCUCUGAACCUCUUUGUGUUGGUUUAAGGACAGUAUUUGAUAACAGGGCUGCUUUUUAAAGAUGUCUGCCGCCGUGGACUUCCACUCUCAGAUCGCCUCCAUCAUGGAGGUCCUAGCUAACGCGGCCGUAGCGGAGAUCUGUAAGGUGGUGGACGAUGGCUACGCGGUGGUCCAGCUGGAGAUGAGCCGGAGCCAGAAGGAGAGCGAGUGUCUGCGGAGGAAGGUCAAGCUACUGGAGCUGCAGGUCGCCCGGUACCGAGCCGAGAGGAUGAAGACAGCGGAGGGAUCCUCCAACAGCCGCUUCCACGGGGUCCGACUCCUGAACCGACAGAACAGAGAGCCAGGGGCCGGCCCCUCUCUGCAGACCAAGACCAGGUUUCUGAACCGAGGACUGGGGACCCAGCAGUCUGCACAGAAGACCCCGCCUAUAAUCCUGGACCAGGACCCUGAUCAGGAAGUCGUCACCACCACCAAAACCGAGUCCGUAGAGCCUGAGGAGCAGCAGGAGGAGGAUCUGCUCAUCGUGAAGGUGGAGGAACCCACAGAGACGGACACCAUCCACCAGGGGGCAACGUUGGACGCCGGCGGAGGAGACGCCGACCCCCCUACAUCGCUCCCAACGUCCUCAAAGGAUGACGUCGGACAGCUCAGUGAAACGGAGGCCCAGAGAUGUCCAACACUCCUGACCAGCCCUAAGAGCGAGCAGAAAGAGACAGGUAUACCCCCAGAUGAAAAAAGCCCUGCCCACUUGCUGCUGGACUGGCAGGAGAGCAGAUGGACUGGAGAUACAGAGCUGCCAUUUUGUUCCUCAUACCCAGGUCUGAACAGGCCUCACAUGGACCUGGACCAACCCAAGUCUGAGCCUGAUGUCAUCAUGAUCGAAAAAAAAAAGGAUAUCUGUGUUCCCAUAGCAGAAAACCAUGGUUUGAUGCACUCUAAAGGUGGAGGUCAUGGAGCUAAGGGUCCAGCUGGGUCCCAGUACCACCUCCUGCUGAGUCUGCCUGCAGGUGAACCUACAUGGGACAUACCUGCCUACAACACACCCCCUGUUUCCAUGGAAGUAGCUGGCCUACAACAACAGCAAUCCUUGUCUGGUGUUCAGCAAGUUGGCGACAUCUCUGGCCUCAGUCAGGUUUAUCAGUCAACCAGCACUCAGAACCAGGAGACCGGGUCUUUGGAGCCUCGCCCUGUCUUUGGCUGCUCUUUCUGCUCCCGCCAGUUUGCCUACCAGUGUAAGCUCCUUAUCCAUGAGCGCACACACACUGGAGAGAAGCCAUUUGAGUGCUCCCAAUGUGGGAAGAAGUUCAGCAGAGUGUGCAGCCUGAAGCGCCAUCGGAGUGUCCACACUGGGGAAAAACCAUUCCCCUGCUCACUAUGUGGGAAGAUGUUCUCCUCCUCCUCCAGCCUGAAAUACCACGAGCUGGUUCAUACAGGGGAGAGACCUUUCUCCUGCACCCACUGUGAGAAAGCAUUCUCUACAGCUACCAGCCUUAAGAACCACCAGUCAGUCCAUACAGGGGAGAGGCCGUUUCCCUGCCCCCACUGUGGAAAGACAUUCUCAAACUCUGGAAGCCUGAAGGUUCACCAGAGCGUUCACACUGGAGAGAAACGCUUCCACUGCCCCAAGUGUGGCAAGAACUUCUCAUUUCUGAGUAACCUGAUUCGGCACCGAGCCCUGCACAACAAGAAGUGACAAGAAUUUACGCCAAGACUAAGACAUAAGGUUAUGGAAGGACAAAGGGACAGGGACAGAUAAGUGAACUGGAAGAAAUUUCCUUAAAGGACUGGUCCCCACUUGAACCUAAGUCCCUACAGUCUGAACUAGUGCUGCCAUUAGACUAGAACCCCCCCCCCCUUUGGCCUCCUGAUGGCUAUCCUCCAGGUAUACUCCCAGCUGACCCCCUUUACGAUGCAUGCAGCCAACCCCUGGUCUCUGGAAGCUAACCAGGUCCUGGGCACCCAGUGUGCGGUGAGCUUGAUCAGGCCUGGUAGAACAUGCCUGGUGCCUUUAAAAGUGAAGCUGCCUUUCCCACAACAAGCAGCUGAUCUCUCCCAUCCCUGCUCUUCUGAGCACAUCAGCAUUAGACACACGGUCAAACAAUGAUACCCAAAGAUGCAGUGGAGAGAAGCUGUCACAAGUUGCCCCCUCCCCAGGAAGAUCUUUAAGAACAAAAGCACAAACCGAGACUAGCAGCAACAAUAUAUAAAUGUGGUGUUUCAGAUUUAUAGAUGGUAUACAAAAAUCGAAGCACUGACAGCGUCAGUAGUCCUGAUGACACUAUGGUAAAGGGGGCCCAGGAAUGCUUGGCCCACCCUUGAAUGCUUCAGCAGUUGAUGGUGAUCCCCCAGAGGAAAAAAGCCCCGUCCACUUGCUGGAAUUGCCAGAGAGAAAACAGAAUGUGGAUGUGGAGCGGCCUUCCUGUUCCUCGUACACAGCCAGCUC
Cheilinus undulatus (humphead wrasse) is the source of this 2555-nucleotide RNA transcript. It is a transcript of the gene named Krueppel-like factor 15, with no coding region annotated. NCBI's taxonomy places the organism in Eukaryota, Metazoa, Chordata, Actinopteri, Labriformes, Labridae. The transcript is spliced from 6 exons. The record is from RefSeq and is a predicted model, not a curated record.